This 234-nucleotide ribosomal RNA is filed under the name uncultured bacterium. RNAcentral describes it as "partial 16S ribosomal RNA". It matches the Rfam family "Bacterial small subunit ribosomal RNA", at positions 96 to 334 of the family's 1533-position model. The record is from RNAcentral.
UGGCGGACGGGUGAGUAAUGUCUGGGAAACUGCCUGAUGGAGGGGGAUAACUACUGGAAACGGUAGCUAAUACCGCAUAACGUCGCAAGACCAAAGAGGGGACCUUCGGGCCUCUUGCCAUCGGAUGUGCCCAGAUGGGGUUAGCUAGUAGGUGGGGUAACGGCUCACCUAGGCGACGAUCCCUAGCUGGUCUGAGAGGAUGACCAGCCACACUGGAACUGAGACACGGUCCAG